This 214-nucleotide long non-coding RNA is filed under the name Elaeis guineensis (African oil palm). RNAcentral describes it as "long non-coding RNA (EGUI_LNC042526)". Lineage: Eukaryota; Viridiplantae; Streptophyta; Magnoliopsida; Arecales; Arecaceae. The record is from RNAcentral.
UGCAGAUUUUUGUCAAGCAUUAGAGUGGCUGGAGUUGGUGGAACAUUGGGUCAUCGAGAGUGAGACCUACAAGAAAAAGUUUCUAUCAGAGGUAGCUCCAAUGGGGAUCUUCCGAUGCUCAAGUCAGUCAUCUAGUCAACAGAUGGAAAAGGGGAGCAUUUGUGAGAGAGAUUUUGCAUACCUAGUGGUCUCUCUUUUUCUCCCUUUUAUGGGC